GUACUCCCUUGGGCAGCACAUAUACUAAAAUGGUAACGAUACAGAGAAAAUUAGUACGGUCCCUGCACAAAGACACACAAAACACGGCUCCUGAAUUCAACUUGCUU
Neomonachus schauinslandi (Hawaiian monk seal) is the source of this 107-nucleotide small nuclear RNA. NCBI's taxonomy places the organism in Eukaryota, Metazoa, Chordata, Mammalia, Carnivora, Phocidae. The record is from RefSeq and is a predicted model, not a curated record.